CAUCUUCGAAUCUAUUUUUCUUUUUUCUUCUUUUCUUUUAUAAUCGAGUUGUAGAGCUAAAAUGCAUCUUUAUUUUAACUUCUUGUAGUCAUUAUGUGGAUAUCUUAGUGGUCAAAAUAUGAAUAUAUUAUGCAUGGACGAACCAUGUGAAACAUAUCAUAUUUUCUAUAUUAUGAUCUAUCAUUGUUCAGUCACAAUUUGGUUCUUUUGAGAUGUUUCAUUGUUAUAGUAUACUUAACAAUCGCUACAGUUUCAGUAAAUAUCCCGAUUUUUAUUUUUUUCAUAAUAAAAUCUACUUAGGCAUGCAAAGUAU
This 313-nucleotide long non-coding RNA is filed under the name Capsella rubella. RNAcentral's name for it is "long non-coding RNA (CRUB_LNC001244)". Lineage: Eukaryota; Viridiplantae; Streptophyta; Magnoliopsida; Brassicales; Brassicaceae. The record is from RNAcentral.